UACGGAGGGUGCAAGCGUUAAUCGGAAUUACUGGGCGUAAAGCGCACGCAGGUGGCUGAGUCAGUCGAUUGUGAAAGCCCUGGGCUUAACCUGGGAAUUGCAGUCGAUACUACUCAGCUAGAGUAUGGGAGAGGGUAGUGGAAUUCCCGGUGUAGCGGUGAAAUGCGCAGAUAUCGGGAGGAACACCAGUGGCGAAGGCGGCACUCUGGGCCGGAACUGACGCUGAGGAGCGAAAGCGUGGGGAGCGAACAGG
This 253-nucleotide ribosomal RNA is filed under the name uncultured bacterium. Its description in RNAcentral is "partial 16S ribosomal RNA". It matches the Rfam family "Bacterial small subunit ribosomal RNA", at positions 524 to 776 of the family's 1533-position model. The record is from RNAcentral.